GACGAACGCUGGCGGCGUGCUUAACACAUGCAAGUCGAACGGAAAGGCCCUGCUUUUGUGGGGUGCUCGAGUGGCGAACGGGUGAGUAACACGUGAGUAACCUGCCCUUGACUUUGGGAUAACUUCAGGAAACUGGGGCUAAUACCGGAUAGGAGCUCCUGCUGCAUGGUGGGGGUUGGAAAGUUUCGGCGGUUGGGGAUGGACUCGCGGCUUAUCAGCUUGUUGGUGGGGUAGUGGCUUACCAAGGCUUUGACGGGUAGCCAGCCUGAGAGGGUGACCGGCCACAUUGGGACUGAGAUACGGCCCAGACUCCUACGGGAGGCAACAGUGGGGAAUAUUGCACAAUGGGCGGAAGCCUGAUGCAGCAACGCCGCGUGCGGGAUGACGGCCUUCGGGUUGUAAACCGCUUUCGCCUGUGACGAAGCGUGAGUGACGGUAAUGGGUAAAGAAGCACCGGCUAACUACGU
RNAcentral lists this ribosomal RNA (467 nucleotides) under uncultured bacterium. Its description in RNAcentral is "partial 16S ribosomal RNA". It matches the Rfam family "Bacterial small subunit ribosomal RNA", at positions 28 to 506 of the family's 1533-position model. The record is from RNAcentral.